UCUGCAGCUGUGGAGUGGAGGUGCACUGAGCUCCCUGACAGACUGCACAAAAUCGGGAAGCACGGUGGCCACCGUUUUCUUUUCCUUCCCCGAGGAGAAAGUCCUUUGUCAAUCUGUGACGAUCUGACUAAGCAUGUUCUUCUUCGUAGUUGGUGAGUAAGAGAGCUCCUCAUGCCGCCUCAUCACGUUCUCUUCCUCUUUCCCGUGGCUUUAUCAGCACUCCCUUCUGUAGGACACGCUGCAGAGUUACUGUAAGUCAAAAGGAAGGAUGACAAAGAGGUGGUAUUUCUGAUCUGGAGUCGGAAGGGCAAGCUUGAUUCAAGAGGUAGCCGCCCUGCUAUCCAGGAGAACCUGUGCUUGCUCCUCCUUCAGUCGCCCCAGAAUCCAGACCUUCUUUCAGUUGGGGGCCUCUGGAGCCGGGGUUCCAGGUUGGAAACUCCCUGAGAGACCUCAAGCGAGCCAGUCCAUCUCCUUGGGCCCCCUGUCUGUUGUGUGGACAAACAGGUUCUACAGCCCACUCAGCAGCCAGUUCUACUCCCAUGGGGCAGGUGUUUUAUUCCUCCCCACACCCCCAGUUCAGACUGCAGAAUUAGAGUAUCAAAUAAGCCUGAGAAUCUCCAUAGUAGUAAAACAAGUAAUGAAAACCAUCGGAUACAAUGAGGCUGCCUGUGUCCCAAAGUCACCUCCUCCUCCUCCAGGGAGGUCUAGAAUUGUCCCUUUCUCCCCUUCUUUUGAUUCCCCCCAAGGGCCAUGUCCACUAACCCACAGAGCUUUGCUUGUCUGGGACUGGGCAGUUACCCACUUAUGGCUGAACAGGCCUGGAAGGGGACUCCAUUUCCCUUCACACUCCACUCCUCCACAAAGCAGGUCUUCUGGCUAAAGUUACCUAAAGGAGUUCAAGUCUCUUAGACUAUGCUGAUGUCAGCAGAAAUGAAUGGCCCUCUCCCCGGAGGGUGCGGGUACUGUCAAGUUCUAGAAAUCUGAAAUGAAGUAAAGUUCUCACUGGUGCCUCCACAGACAGGUGAAGAGGAGAGAGACUCGAAGGAGUGAAAAGUGGGGACAGACACGUUGAUGGGUUUAUAAGCAUUUCCUCACACACAGGAUCUCAUUUGUGGCUCACAAACACCCAGUGAAGGUGGCAAGAAGACAGGCACUCCCCCUGACUGCCUGGGAGACAGAUGACUCCAGGAUCCCCGUAGAUCCAGCAGUUACUGAUGGCAGGAGUAUGGCUUCAGCCUGUAGGUGUGCUGUCUGAGGGUUAAGCCCCGAUGAACACGGUCUCUUAAUUUUUCACAACUCUUCAAAACAGACAUAAUUUUUUCCUUCUAAAAACAAUUUUGAUAAAA
Long non-coding RNA from Grammomys surdaster, 1346 nucleotides. RefSeq lists it as uncharacterized. The transcript is spliced from 2 exons. The record is from RefSeq and is a predicted model, not a curated record. NCBI's taxonomy places the organism in Eukaryota, Metazoa, Chordata, Mammalia, Rodentia, Muridae.